RNAcentral lists this ribosomal RNA (465 nucleotides) under uncultured bacterium. Its description in RNAcentral is "partial 16S ribosomal RNA". It matches the Rfam family "Bacterial small subunit ribosomal RNA", at positions 28 to 507 of the family's 1533-position model. The record is from RNAcentral.
GACGAACGCUGGCGGCGUGCUUAACACAUGCAAGUCGAACGGAAAGGCCCUGCUUGCAGGGUACUCGAGUGGCGAACGGGUGAGUCACACGUGGGUGAUCUGCCCUGCACUUCGGGAUAAGCCUUGGAAACGGGGUCUACUACCGGGUAGGAGCCAUUUUUAGUUUGAUGGUUGGAGAGUUUUUUCGGUGUAGGAUGAGGUGACGGCCUAGCAGCUUUUUGGUGGGGUAAUGGCCUACCAAGGCGGCGGCGGGUAGCAGGCCUGGGUGGGUGGACGUGCACAUUGGGACUGGGACACGGACACGGCCCCGACGGGUGGGAGAAGCAGGGAAGAGUGAACAAUCGGAGCGAGCCUGAUGCAGCCACGCCCCGGGGGGGAUGACGGUCAACGGGUUGUAAAUGCCUUUCGCUAGCGACGAAGCUGUUUGUGACGGUACCUGGAUAAGAAGCCCCGGCUAACUACGUG